AUCCUGGCUCAGGACGAACGCUGGCGGCGUGCCUAAUACAUGCAAGUCGAGCGGACCAAAGGGAGCUUGCUCCUGGAGGUUAGCGGCGAACGGGUGAGUAACACGUGGGCAACCUGCCUGUAAGACUGGGAUAACAUCGAGAAAUCGGUGCUAAUACCGGAUAAUAAAAAGAACUGCAUGGUUCUUUUUUGAAAGAUGGUUUCGGCUAUCACUUACAGAUGGGCCCGCGGCGCAUUAGCUAGUUGGUGAGGUAACGGCUCACCAAGGCGACGAUGCGUAGCCGACCUGAGAGGGUGAUCGGCCACACUGGGACUGAGACACGGCCCAGACUCCUACGGGAGGCAGUAGUAGGGAAUCUUCCGCAAUGGACGAAAGUCUGACGGAGCAACGCCGCGUGAGUGAUGAAGGUUUUCGGAUCGUAAAACUCUGUUGUUAGGGAAGAACAAGUGCCGUUCGAAAGGGCGGCACCUUGACGGUACCUAACGAGAAAGCCACGGCUAACUACGUG
This 508-nucleotide ribosomal RNA is filed under the name uncultured bacterium. RNAcentral describes it as "bacterial SSU rRNA". It matches the Rfam family "Bacterial small subunit ribosomal RNA", at positions 16 to 507 of the family's 1533-position model. The record is from RNAcentral.